GUGCGAUUGGCUCAGGCAUAAGCACAAUGACCCAGGCUGGGCCAAUGACGAGCCUCAGGAGUUGCUAAGCCGACUAGAAGUGGGCCUGCAGCCAUGAGGCCAUCUUGCCACAUAAGUUGACCUUUCGUAGAGGGAAGUCCUUCCUGGAAAGCAGAGCCAGAGGUUCUGGGAGGCAGACUUCUGAUCCCUUGAGGUUCUGGAUCCAAUCAAGCCCAAGACUGGAUUACUAGAAGCUUCCUGGAUACAGGAGCCAAUUCACUAUUUUCAUGUUUUUAUGUAGCCAGUUGGGUUUGAACUUCUCAUAACUUGCAACCGAGACAGUCAUGGAUGUCAAGGGUGAUGAACCGUCAGUUUGUCUAGCCCUGGGCAGGCCCAUUUGUGCCCACGAGUGAGCCUCCUAGUAGUCCUGCAGACCCACAUUGGCCCCUCACGUGGAAGGUCUGGAAAUCCACUGGCCCUGGUUGUGUAGAUGCCAGGCCUGCACAUGGGAGUGGACAUUAGACUCAUUGUCUCAAUUCCCCAGGAAUCCUGACUUCCCUGGCAUCAUCCCUCGGCCACACGCUUACAUCAGUCAUGUGGGAAUCCACUGAUGACUCAGCCUGGUGGCCUUGGAAGCCCCUGUGUGCCCGUGCAGGGCAAGCUCUAGUGGACUGGGGUGGACCAGCAUGGCCCUGCCCUCCAGGAGCUCCCAGGGACACCUCACACACUCUGUGGCAAGAAAGCUCCAAGUUAGAGCAUCUGCAAUUCAGCCCAGUGUGCAACAAGCCAUAUGGUAUGAAUGUGAAACAGAAGACAACAGAAGCCCCUCAUCCGCCUUCGUCUGCAGAACUCCCUCGAAAGCGGGGACCAUGGGCUCCUCCCGCCCUGCCCGUCCUCGCAGAGGCUGGACAGCUUCAUCCAUUCAUUCAUCCAUCAUUCGCUGAACUCCUGUCCCAUGCCAAGGGCUGUUCUCCCACCAGCGACAGAGGGAACCAAGACAGAAGAGACCUGUCGUCAGGUGGGAGAAGGAUCAGGUCAUAA
This 1020-nucleotide long non-coding RNA is filed under the name Macaca mulatta (Rhesus monkey). RNAcentral's name for it is "lncRNA (ENSMMUG00000059588.1)". The record is from RNAcentral. Lineage: Eukaryota; Metazoa; Chordata; Mammalia; Primates; Cercopithecidae.